AAAAAAAAAAAAAAAAAGAUGAAUUUUAAAUUAUUUCGUCGUGAUAGAUGACGAUAUGUUUAUAGCGAGGUAUUUUUACAAGGUAUUAAAUAGUGGGAAGGAUACAUAAAUUAUUUUAAAAUUUAGAAGCAGUUUGGUUCAAGAUUUGUAAUAUUUUCGAAGUUAUUAUAUAUUUAAUAUUUAGAAUGACAAGCUUGUUACUAAUUUGUUAAAUCACCGACAGAUUUUUAAGAACUAUUAUAUUCUUAUUAAUGGACUACUAGUGAUUUUCAUCAAGUACGAAAAUUACCAUACCCCCUAAUUCAUGAUAAUCUAAUAUUUCUGUCACGUAAGGAUCCAUAAUGAUUCCACUACUUCACUAACACUUUUACAACUAUAUAUCUAACUUGAGUAGAUUGGUAAUAAUUUGAAUUAUUUUAAUAAAAAAUAUAAAAUAUUACUGAAAUCCUAUAAACCAUAAACCAAACGUGCCCUUUAAAAAACAUAUUAGUUAUUUAUUUGUUUGUGAAAAAUAUGCCAGU
This 521-nucleotide long non-coding RNA is filed under the name Ananas comosus (pineapple). RNAcentral describes it as "long non-coding RNA (ACOM_LNC024635)". The record is from RNAcentral. Lineage: Eukaryota; Viridiplantae; Streptophyta; Magnoliopsida; Poales; Bromeliaceae.